Long non-coding RNA from Oncorhynchus keta (chum salmon), 346 nucleotides. RefSeq lists it as uncharacterized. The record is from RefSeq and is a predicted model, not a curated record. The transcript is spliced from 5 exons. Lineage: Eukaryota; Metazoa; Chordata; Actinopteri; Salmoniformes; Salmonidae.
GAGAGGUACCAGAUAAACACUAUUUAACCACUAUUGACCACAUCUCAGGAGAGGUACCAGAGAAACACUGUUUAAUCACUACUGACCACAUCUCAGGAGAGGUACCAGAUAAACACUAUUUAAUCACUACUGACCACAUCUCAGGAGAGGUACCAGAUAAACACUAUUUAAUCACUACUGACCACAUCUCAGAGAGGUACCAGAUAAACACUAUUUAAUCACUACUGACCACAUCUCAGAGAGGUACCAGAGAAACACUGUUUAAUCACUACUGACCACAUCUCAGAGAGGUACCAGAGAAACACUAUUUAAUCACUACUGACCACAUCUCAGGAGAGGUACCAGA